UCGGGAAUUUUGGGCAAUGGGCGAAAGCCUGACCCAGCAACGCCGCGUGAAGGAUGAAGUAUUUCGGUAUGUAAACUUCGAAAGAAUAGGAAGAAUAAAUGACGGUACUAUUUAUAAGGUCCGGCUAACUACGUGCCAGCAGCCGCGGUAAUACGUAGGGACCAAGCGUUGUUCGGAUUUACUGGGCGUAAAGGGCGCGUAGGCGGCAAUUCAAGUCAUCUGUGAAAUCUCCGGGCUUAACUCGGAACGGUCAGAUGAUACUGCUUUGCUAGAGUGCAGAAGGGGCAAUCGGAAUUCUUGGUGUAGCGGUGAAAUGCGUAGAUAUCAAGAGGAACACCUGAGGUGAAGACGGGUUGCUGGGCUGACACUGACGCUGAGGCGCGAAAGCCAGGGGAGCAAACGGGGAUUAGAUACCCAGGUAGUCCCUGAG
Molecule: ribosomal RNA, 430 nt
Filed under: uncultured bacterium
Lineage: Bacteria
Description: bacterial SSU rRNA
Rfam family: Bacterial small subunit ribosomal RNA
Source: RNAcentral